UCUGAGCCCUUGAGGCCUCCAGUGGAUUU
This 29-nucleotide small RNA is filed under the name Bombyx mori (domestic silkworm). RNAcentral's name for it is "ovarian small RNA-29940". The record is from RNAcentral. Lineage: Eukaryota; Metazoa; Arthropoda; Insecta; Lepidoptera; Bombycidae.